GAGUUUGAUCUUGGCUCAGAUUGAACGCUGGCGGCGUGCUUAACACAUGCAAGUCGAGCGGUAACAGGCGUAGCAAUACGUGCUGACGAGCGGCGAACGGGUGAGUAAUGCUUCGGAAUCUUCCUCGUAGUGGGGAAUAACCUGGGGAAACUCAGGCUAAUACCGCAUACGAACUACGGUUGAAAGCAGGGGAUCGCAAGACCUUGCGCUAUGAGAUGAGCCGAAGUCGGAUUAGCUAGUUGGUGAGGUAAAGGCUCACCAAGGCGACGAUCCGUAGCUGGUCUGAGAGGACGACCAGCCACACUGGGACUGAGACACGGCCCAGACUCCUACGGGAGGCAGCAGUGGGGAAUAUUGGACAAUGGGGGCAACCCUGAUCCAGCGACGCCGCGUGUGUGAAGAAGGCCUGCGGGUUGUAAAGCACUUUUAGUGGGGAUGAAAAGCCGAAGGCUAAUACCUUUCGGUCUUGACCUAACCCAAAGAAAAAGCACCGGCUAACUCUGUGCCAGCAGCCGCCGU
RNAcentral lists this ribosomal RNA (519 nucleotides) under uncultured Gammaproteobacteria bacterium. RNAcentral describes it as "bacterial SSU rRNA". It matches the Rfam family "Bacterial small subunit ribosomal RNA", at positions 9 to 521 of the family's 1533-position model. Lineage: Bacteria; Pseudomonadati; Pseudomonadota; Gammaproteobacteria. The record is from RNAcentral.